Molecule: transfer RNA, 75 nt
Filed under: Nitrosomonas sp.
Lineage: Bacteria; Pseudomonadati; Pseudomonadota; Betaproteobacteria; Nitrosomonadales; Nitrosomonadaceae
Also listed under: 1 other name
Description: tRNA-Gln
Rfam family: tRNA
About the family: Transfer RNA (tRNA) molecules are approximately 80 nucleotides in length. Their secondary structure includes four short double-helical elements and three loops (D, anti-codon, and T loops).
Source: RNAcentral
UGGGGAGUAGCCAAGUGGUAAGGCACCGGAUUUUGAUUCCGGCAUUCGUAGGUUCGAUCCCUACCUCCCCAGCCA